UGGGUUGUGGCUCAGCGGUAGAGUGCUCGCCUAGCACGUGAGAGGUCCUGGGUUCAAUCCUCAGCACCACAU
Non-coding RNA from Marmota flaviventris (yellow-bellied marmot), 72 nucleotides. NCBI's taxonomy places the organism in Eukaryota, Metazoa, Chordata, Mammalia, Rodentia, Sciuridae. The record is from the annotation of a RefSeq genome assembly.